AAAAGCCUGAUUGAGCGACGCCGCGUGAGGGAUGACGGCCUUCGGGUUGUAAACCUCUUUCAGCAGGAAGAAGCGAAAGUGACGGUACCUGCAGAAGAAGCGCCGGCUAACUACGUGCCAGCAGCGCGGUAAUAUAUAGAGCGCAAGCGUUGUCCGGAAUUAUUGGGCGUAAAGAGCUCGUAGGCGGCUUGUCACGUCGAUUGUGAAAGCUCGGGCUUAACCCCGAGUCGCAGUCGAUACGGGCUAGCUAGAGUGUGGUAGGGGAGAUCGGAAUUCCUGGUGUAGCGGUGAAAUGCGCAGAUAUCAGGAGGAACACCGGUGGCGAAGGCGGAUCUCUGGGCCGUACUUCAUUUAUUUGAGGUCAAAGCCUGAGGGAUAUACGUAAUUGUACACGUUAACUACGCCGCAACACGGAAAUAGAAGGUCUAUAAAAUGGAUUACCAAGCCGGCGGCCGAGCCAGCCAUCGGCAGAAUGAGGCGCGGNGAAGAGAAAGUACAGGGGGCACGGGGCCG
This 513-nucleotide ribosomal RNA is filed under the name Frankia sp. Fa. RNAcentral's name for it is "bacterial SSU rRNA". It matches the Rfam family "Bacterial small subunit ribosomal RNA", at positions 377 to 848 of the family's 1533-position model. The record is from RNAcentral. Lineage: Bacteria; Bacillati; Actinomycetota; Actinomycetes; Frankiales; Frankiaceae.